This 253-nucleotide ribosomal RNA is filed under the name uncultured bacterium. RNAcentral describes it as "partial 16S ribosomal RNA". It matches the Rfam family "Bacterial small subunit ribosomal RNA", at positions 524 to 776 of the family's 1533-position model. The record is from RNAcentral.
UACGUAGGGUGCAAGCGUUGUCCGGAAUUAUUGGGCGUAAAGAGCUCGUAGGCGGUUUGUUGCGUCGGCUGUGAAAUCCCGAGGCUCAACCUCGGGUCUGCAGUCGAUACGAGCAAACUAGAGUGUUGCAGGGGAGACUGGAAUUCCCGGUGUAGCGGUGAAAUGCGCAGAUAUCAGGAGGAACACCGGUGGCGAAGGCGGGUCUCUGGGCAACAACUGGCGCUGAGGAGCGAAAGCGUGGGGAGCGAACAGG